This 386-nucleotide ribosomal RNA is filed under the name uncultured Lactobacillus sp. RNAcentral describes it as "bacterial SSU rRNA". It matches the Rfam family "Bacterial small subunit ribosomal RNA", at positions 164 to 525 of the family's 1533-position model. Lineage: Bacteria; Bacillati; Bacillota; Bacilli; Lactobacillales; Lactobacillaceae. The record is from RNAcentral.
UAAUACCGGAUAAGAAAAGCAGAUCGCAUGAUCAGCUUUUAAAGGCGGCGUAAAGCUGUCGCUAUGGGGAUGGGCCCCGCGGUGCAUUAGCUAGUUGGCAAGGUAAAGGGCUUACCAAGGCGAUGAUGCAUAGCCCGAGUUGAGAGACUGAUCGGGCCACAUUGGGGACUGAGACACGGGCCCAAACUCCUACGGGAGGCAGCAGUAGGGAAUCUUCCACAAUGGACGCAAGUCUGAUGGAGCAAAUGCCGCGUGAGUGAAGAAGGUUUUCGGAUCGUAAAAGCUCUGUUGUUGGUGAAGAAGGAUAGAGGUAGUAACUGGCCUUUAUUUGACGGUAAUCAACCAGAAAGUCACGGGCUAACUACGUGCCAGCAGCCGGGGUAAAU